GCUCGAGCUGUGGUGCGUGCCGCUAAGUUGUGCGUUCCAGGGUGCACUCGCCGGCGAGGCUGCACGGCGCCGGUUUCAUUGCUAAAAUCCGACGGACUUGUUGCAGAACUCGUUUUUUUUGUCGGGAAAGGGCUUCCCCGUGUAACUUUACAGCAGUUAUCGUAGAUAAGACUUGCAAAUUACAGAUGUGGACGGUGAGGGAACGGGAAUUUCACUGAAAGCGCCUGAGAACCAGUAAGAGACCUGCAACAGCUUUGUGCUCCACUGGCGAAUGCUUCCUCCCCUAAUACACAUUAUGUGUGCUUGGAGACACAAGGAGUAAGAUACAGCCCCUCAAGGGACUCGUCAUAGGGAGAGGACACAGCUUUGGGAAUAAAGGGGCCACAAAGGAGGAGAGAGGAGUUUGCUGAAACUUCCCAAGCUCCCAUUCCAGCAGUUCCUGAAGGUGGGAAGAAACUAACCCUCAUUGAGUGCCUAGUUAACAUCAGGCACUUUGUACACAUAAUCAAUUGAAUCUUGACCACAACCCUGUGAGGUGAAAAAUGAGAAGAUUAAAUAAGCCAUGGGAAGAUUUUUUAAAAUGACAUGAAACUCCAAGGGUAAAAAGUAGGCUGGGAAAUCUUAGGAUGGUGAACCAUCAUGUUUCCUGAAUGUGAAUCCUGUACCUGGUUUGACUGUAGUCACCCCUUCUCCAACACUCUCCACGAUGCCGGCUGCCUCAUGGCCUAAAAUCACAGGAAGUGGGGUCACCAUGGUACCACUAACCACGUGGUCAUCUGUGCCACAGAUUCCUACAGCCACCAUCUACAGAGUGAAGAGAAGAUGUUUAUAAAAGAUUGUGAGUCUCAGGAUGUUCAACAUGAUCAAUGCCAAAUAAAUAUCAGAAUACUUGGAAGUAAAGUACUAAUAGUAGGAGUUCCUGAUUAUCAGGUGCCUAUGAUGUGACAGGCACAUUGUGGCCUGUGCUCGACCAGGAGACUGGUGAGUCCUUGUGGAUUUCUUCCCUGCUCAAGUGCAUAAAGCAGGUGUAUUGCAUAGCUUUUCCAGGCUGAGAUCAAAGACGGAGAUGUGCCUACCCGCAGAUCCUAGAUGGCCAUGUUUGCAACAGAGGUAAUGAUGAGCAGUGCGAAGAUGUGACUCCAAAGCCUGGAGAAGGACAGACCAGCAUCCCUGCAAGAGAUCCAACUGUCUUCUUUUCCGCAGAGGUCCAUAAUUUACAUGGGCCUGACAAAGAAUACUGUAACUUGCAGAAAUUAUCUUCAGUUCAAAUCCUUCAUUUUGGGGGUUAAAUAACUUGCCCAAGAUGUCGAGGGAGCGGAAAUACUUGCUGGUCUUGCAGCGGCUGUGGAGCCUGGAAUCCUGCCAAGAAGAGCAUGUGUGAGAGAUCAAAAUGUUUGCUUACAUUCCUCCUGUGAAGGGAGUUGGGAAAUAACCUAAGAAGCCCAAUCCAAAAACAAAGAUGUACCAUCCAGUCUUCUCUGUGAGAACCAAACUACAAACCAUCUGAAUGUUCCAAAAGUGUUUUGAUGAUGUAUUGAUGUAUUUUAAAUUAUCCUGAAAAUGUUCUUGGCAGAUGCUUAAACAUGUAAUUACUGAGAUGAUGUAGAAAUACCAAGUGUUUAUUAAAACAAUACAGAGUAAUACAAA
Molecule: long non-coding RNA, 1647 nt
Filed under: Homo sapiens (human)
Lineage: Eukaryota; Metazoa; Chordata; Mammalia; Primates; Hominidae
Description: novel transcript, antisense to ADH4, ADH6 & ADH1A
Source: RNAcentral